Cavia porcellus (domestic guinea pig) is the source of this 1491-nucleotide long non-coding RNA. RefSeq lists it as uncharacterized. The record is from RefSeq and is a predicted model, not a curated record. The transcript is spliced from 2 exons. NCBI's taxonomy places the organism in Eukaryota, Metazoa, Chordata, Mammalia, Rodentia, Caviidae.
UUGGGAGCCGCAGCCCCGAGCCCGGUCGCCUCACUUGGCGGACGUGAGGCCUGUAGUAAAGAGUAAAGCCUGAGGUAGAUUACCCCUCCCAUCGAGCACGUUAGUUUCCUGCUUACCGCGUAAGCAACCCGCUCAACAAUAUAGUCUGCCUGGCAACUGAUGAUGUUAGCCAAUCAGCUUGCCUUGCUUACUUUAACAUGAUUGGACACUGUAUCCGUAUAUAUACUGGUGCCACCCCUGGGGGGGAAGAAGAAGCCCGGAAGUAGAAGCCCAGAAGGAGCCGCGGGGAGCGGACCAAAGGAGGCUUCGGCUGGGAGCGAUCCCAGGGCAGGCUGUACGGAGAAGGAAAAUAAAAGAAAAGGUUGUCCACUGCCAGACUUUGUCGUGUGUCCUUCCUGCCGGCCAGGAGCGACAUCGACAUUUGGAGGCCCGCACGGGGACUGAUCACCCCCGAGACGUGACAGCGGACAACGCUCCAGUACAGAGCUGCGAGACAGGAAUCGGGACGAGAACCACUGUGGGUACCGGAGAGACUGACACGGGCGACAAAGCCCUCGACUGAAGAUCAGACCUGCCCUACCGGAGAUCCAUCACAGACCAACCAACAAGAUGAAUAGAAAUAGCGGUAGCCCAAAAUGGACAAGAAGAUCCUCAGGCAUAUGCAUGGCUCGCUCGCCUAGCCUACGACCGAGUCUAGGGGUGGUGAGCUUCCCACACUCCUCCUCUAAAAAAUUAUGACAUAGCUGGGUAGGAGAGUCAAUGACGGGUAAGAGCGUACUCCCCCGGUGCGACUCAACCUAAGCCAGGCCCUACCCCAUCCUGCACGUAAGCCGCUGGACUGUUAGAUGCUGCCCAGGUCUAAAUUUCUCUCCGAGGGGAUUUCUUUACGGAGAGGAAAUGAGUGCAAGCUUGUGUGCAUCCAGGUUCCGUCCAGUUUGUGCCUGGCCCUAGAAAAAGGACGAGGGCCUCAGGGCCUUGGCAGACCAUGGGACGGCCGACCAGGGUCUAAGCCAAGGACCUACGGUGGGCCUACGCAUAGGGCAUAAGCCUCUGCACCCAGUCCAGGAAGGGCUACGAUGUGCACAUUUAUAAAAAAAAAUAAAAAAGGGGGAGAUGUUGGGAGCCGCAGCCCCGAGCCCGGUCGCCUCACUUGGCGGACGUGAGGCCUGUAGUAAAGAGUAAAGCCUGAGGUAGAUUACCCCUCCCAUCGAGCACGUUAGUUUCCUGCUUACCGCGUAAGCAACCCGCUCAACAAUAUAGUCUGCCUGGCAACUGAUGAUGUUAGCCAAUCAGCUUGCCUUGCUUACUUUAACAUGAUUGGACACUGUAUCCGUAUAUAUACUGGUGCCACCCCUGGGGGGGAAGAAGAAGCCGGGAAGUAGAAGCCCAGAAGGAGCCGCGGGGAGCGGACCAAAGGAGGCUUCGGCUGGGAGCGAUCCCAGGGCAGGCUGUACGGAGAAGGAAAAUAAAAGAAAAGGUUGUCCACUGCCA